This 1545-nucleotide long non-coding RNA is filed under the name Rattus norvegicus (Norway rat). RNAcentral describes it as "long non-coding RNA NONRATT000094". The stretch from base 503 to 576 matches the Rfam family "Small nucleolar RNA SNORD101". The record is from RNAcentral. Lineage: Eukaryota; Metazoa; Chordata; Mammalia; Rodentia; Muridae.
CAAGAUUCGGCGUCACCCGUAAUCCACCGCCAUGGCCGAGGAAGGGUGAGCGGAUGGGCCCUAGUUGGGGCGUGGGCCUCCCGCGGAGGACGCGGGUCUGCACGUUAUCCAAAUUAGUUAUUGCCCAUGGCCUCUCGAGGAUUCUAACGAUUCUGUCUGCAUUUCAGCAUAGCUGCUGGAGGUGUAAUGGACGUCAACACUGCUCUACAAGAGGUGCUGAAGACCGCCCUCAUCCACGAUGGCCUAGCACGUGGCAUACGCGAAGCUGCCAAAGCCUUAGACAAGUACGUGUCUCAGUCUCAAUACUGUGGGGUGUUGCAGCCGGAACAAAAACUGCAGCCAAGGGACGAAAGCGUGAAGUUCAUGCUGUUAGCACAAAAGUUCUGAGUGUCAUCCGUCCAGCAGGAAACAUAGGAAAAGGUAUCAACUCUAGCCCACUUAGGAUGUGUGGGUUGCUGUGUGGAUCGGGGCUGAGCGGUAGUUGCUUUUGUUAAGCUACAGUGUUUGAGUGAUGACUUGUAUUGUCGGAUACCCCUUCACCCCGUUCAUGGGUGAGAUUCAGCUAGUCUGACAAACCUGUAGCACUUGGGUACUUUUGCAAAAAGAAAAAGGGAACGUCGUUGACAUCUGUAGUUUACAGAUACAACUUAGCAAUGUUUCAGUGUCUUAUUUGGGAAUAUGCCUUGUUUUUAUUAUGUCUAUGCACGAGGAUGUCAGGUGAUUUUAACAUUUGAAUUUCCUGUAAGCUGACUUGAAUCCAGGUGGGCAUCGCAGCUCCUGUUGUGAUUAUUUACAAUGUUUGAAUAAUGCAGCAUUGAAUCAACUUUCAAGGUUUGGCCAUAAGCAGGCUUCCUCAAGAAAUAAUGGCCUAUGUUAUCCAAGGGCCAAGGUUUGGACAGGAAAAUUGUAUGCAUGCGCUCCAGCAGUUUGCACACUAGUGUGUGCUGCAUAGUAAGCCUUACUAGCAUGGUGAGAUGCCUUGACUGGAAAUACUUGAGGCCGUGGUUUCACUUUCUGAUUUUGCAUUGUAGGCGCCAAGCCCAUCUCUGCGUGCUUGCAUCCAACUGUGAUGAGCCCAUGUAUGUCAAGCUGGUGGAGGCGCUCUGUGCCGAGCACCAGAUCAACCUGAUAAAGGUAAGCAGACGCUCUUCCUGUCCUAGUGAUUAACAGGCACCAGAACUAGGAGCUGUCUGGUGACCUUGUGACAAUCCGGGGCUGCACAUGAUGACAACUGGCUCCCUCUACUGAGUCGCAGUGAGGAAACUGCCAUGUCACCCUUCUGACGCUGCCACCUUGGGAAUUUUGAGUUUCAGUGUGUACUACCUUUAUUCUCUGCUAGUAAUUGCUUUUGUCUUUGGUAGGUUGAUGACAACAAGAAACUAGGGGAAUGGGUAGGCCUCUGUAAAAUCGAUCGAGAGGGGAAGCCACGGAAAGUGGUUGGUUGCAGUUGCGUUGUAGUUAAGGACUAUGGCAAAGAAUCUCAGGCCAAGGAUGUCAUCGAGGAGUACUUCAAAUGCAAGAAAUGAAUAAAUAAAAUUUUGGCUC